AGUCAGUGAGACCAAGAACCCACCAAUUCCAGACACAUCAGGGGUGGAUCUUCUGUUGACCUUGGUGGAUAGAUUUAAUUGAGUGGUGAAAAAGAAGGUGGCCUUCUAACUAGGGAAGAACACUGAUGACGGCCCAGAAGUGAGGAGGAGUGUAGUGUACCAAAGCACUAGAGUUUGUCAUUUCCACUCCCAUGCUUUGACUCGUCUUUCUCUUGAAGUGAGCAGAAACAUCCUCCCCAACUUUCAGCAUGACUUUCAACAAUGCUGUUGGGUUGUGUUUGGGCUUCAGUCUCCUUGAUACAGAAGGGCUGGGCUCCCAGCUAAACCCCCCGCUGAAUCCUGGAACUGUGGCCCUAAGUGAAACAGCUUACCCCGUUUUUCCACCCAAAUGUUGCCUUUUUGGCCUGCCCCGCCCCUAUCUUGUGCCCCAAAAAGACUUCAGCCGGCAGAGCAACAGAAGCAGCUGAGCGGCAAUCAGAGAAGCAACUGAGCAUCAGAGACUGUGGACAGACGCAGCUAACUUCAGAUGGUGCAGCUUUGUGGAGAGGGGCCUGGCUGGAGAUGGCUGGGCUUCAGGGAAAGAUCCCCUUCCCAUCAUCCCCUUCCGUUUCCAGCCUCCGUUUCUGCUGAGAGCCACCCACCACCCAAUAAAUUCCUCCACAUGCAUCCCCUUUCAAAUGGUUCAUGUGACCUGAUUCUUCCUGGACAUUGGACAAGAACCCAGGUGCUGAGAGGGCAGGGGCUGCCACCCUGACCCUCCACCAAGCCGGUUGGCACUUGGCUGUUUCCAGACAUAAGAGCUGAAACAGCAUUGGUUGUAACAUGCUUGGACGACGCUACUCGGCCCGCACAGAACCUGCUCCUAGCAGAGAGGAGUGAUUGGCGGUUCCAGCAUUUGUUCAUUCUGGUUCCUGCACACUCUCGCUUGCAUGCUGUCUCCUGUGAGGAGUGGCCAACGCCGGGCUGAGUGAAAUGAGCCACUCCAGUUUCUGCCCAUGAAGGGGAUCAAGGGAACUAUCCCAUCUCAUCUGAAGGCUUGUCCUGGAUACGUCAGACAACCUGCAAUGAAUGUUUGUGCUGAGGACCGAGACCAGCUGUGUCAAUGUUAACUGCUGGUUCCAGGAUACUCUUUCCCAGGUGGAUGAGGGUGAAAACAAUAAAGAAUGUCACUCAUUGCUUCAGGGAAUUCCUGAAAACCAAUUAUCCAGGUGAUCCUGGCCCUCUGUCCCAAAGCCACAGACGCUGCAGGCAACUGAGUCCGCUCAGAGGAGGCCACUGAGCCUACAAGAUAGGACAGGAGAGAUUGAGCUAUAAAACCAUGACAAGUGCAUGGAGCAGCUAUUUGAGCACCAGGAAAGGAAAUGGUACGCAGCAGUUUGGGAUGGCCCCAGCAGAUGAAAUACAACAGAGUCAGUGUGAGACUGCUGGAUUUCCUCACUGUCCCCUGGCUGGGACUCCAGACAGCCCCAAACCUGAAGGGGCACAAACCUGAAAACAAAAAGAAGUCCAGAAAGCCCUCUUGUUCAGGAUCGAACUUGGGAAAGAAAACUUAUUUGGCUCAAAGUGAAGGCUCAGUCCCCUGCACAAGCAGGUGGUUCACACCUGUGUUCUCAUCUCUCUUAUACCAGCGCCUCUCCCUGGGUUCACACUGAUGUCCUAUGGAUGGAGACGGGGCUUCCUGCACCAGGUCACUCCACAGCCCCUGUAACCUGAAGCCCUGCAGACCAGCCUUGUUCAAUCACAAUGUGAUGUGAGCCUCAUGGGAAUCCCACUGUCUAGUCAUCAUGUUAUAAAUACAAAGAGAAGAAGUCAAUGAGUUUAAAUAAUGUAUUUUAUUUACCUAGCAUAUCAAAAAGAGUAUCAUUUUCAUAUAUAAUCUAAGUACAAUUAUUUAUGAUAUAUAUCAUAUACUUUGCAUGGCUAUUGUUAUUAUUUUUUGAAGAAUCUUUAUGUGGAGA
This 1958-nucleotide long non-coding RNA is filed under the name Homo sapiens (human). RNAcentral's name for it is "HSALNT0405108". The record is from RNAcentral. Lineage: Eukaryota; Metazoa; Chordata; Mammalia; Primates; Hominidae.